This 65-nucleotide transfer RNA is filed under the name Coprococcus sp. AF38-1. Its description in RNAcentral is "tRNA-Ser". It matches the Rfam family "tRNA". From Rfam's summary of the family: Transfer RNA (tRNA) molecules are approximately 80 nucleotides in length. Their secondary structure includes four short double-helical elements and three loops (D, anti-codon, and T loops). Further hydrogen bonds mediate the characteristic L-shaped molecular structure. tRNAs have two regions of fundamental functional importance: the anti-codon, which is responsible for specific mRNA codon recognition, and the 3' end, to which the tRNAs corresponding amino acid is attached (by aminoacyl-tRNA synthetases). tRNAs cope with the degeneracy of the genetic code in two manners: having more than one tRNA (with a specific anti-codon) for a particular amino acid; and 'wobble' base-pairing, i.e. permitting non-standard base-pairing at the 3rd anti-codon position. Lineage: Bacteria; Bacillati; Bacillota; Clostridia; Lachnospirales; Lachnospiraceae. The record is from RNAcentral.
GCCGACAUAGCUCAAUGGCAGAGCAUUACAGAGAGAUACAGGUUCGAUUCCUGUUGUUGGCUUCA